Frankliniella occidentalis (western flower thrips) is the source of this 1427-nucleotide long non-coding RNA. RefSeq lists it as uncharacterized. Lineage: Eukaryota; Metazoa; Arthropoda; Insecta; Thysanoptera; Thripidae. The transcript has 3 exons. The record is from RefSeq and is a predicted model, not a curated record.
GUUUGUUUUUAGUUGGCCAUCACAUCGGGACGUAUGAUUGUUAACGGCAGUGCUGAGGUUGAUGAGAGAGAGUUCAGAAACAAGGGAACAAUGGCCAUGAAACUUGAGAUAGACAAGAAGCAGUAUCUAGUGGAUGAACCCUUUUAAGUGGAAAUUGCUGAGAUAGUGCCCAUUCACUCACUGAAAGAAAAUUCAACCUACAGAUGUGUCGUCAAGGUUUGACUCUCCCUCCCAUAGCUGUGCUAUUCAUGAUCUGACAGUGUGCUACAACUUGCAGAAACUGAAAUGAGGUAGAGGUCUUGAAUGUGAAGCCUGUGAUAUCUAGUUCCAAGUAUACAUCUAUAUGUACAUUUAAGUCUUUCCCAACUCAGAGUAGGUAGACAUGGGUUGUCAGAGCCUUACCCGACAACACAUCUUGUGGCUGCAUAAUUCAGAAUGAUACUCAUUUUAAUGUAUGGCUUGUAACUGCUAUGAUGACACCCUUGCUCACCCUUAACCUUUUCCACUCUCUGUCUCCUCUCUUUCUGUUAUCGUUCCAUGCUGGGCGGUCCUUUCAAUAGGACUAGGGAAUGAGGCACAAAAUCCCUGUGAGUCCAGACUGUGUCAAAGUGUCAAUAGUUGGGACACCAUACACUACAGCGUAUCAUUCUGUCCAUAGUUUUAAUUUCUUAAUGAUGUAGGUUUCUGACUUCACAUAUCAUGGUAGCAGCCCUGAUUCACAGUGAGAGUGUUGAACAAUGCCUGCCUUCCAUCUUGGUGUUGGUGGAGCAAUCCUUUAUAUGUAGAAUCCAGAAAGCCAGGAAUUUUUAUAUGAAACCUGUAAGCAAUUUUAAUGGCAGCAGCAUUGAGUUGCAGCGAUUAUUAAGAACUGCCUGCCUUCCAUCUUGGCGUUGGUGGAGCGACCCUGUUUCUGUAGAGUCCAUGUGACAAUGAGUGUAAAUCAUUAUAAUGUUCGUUAUGCGAUAGUGGACUGAACUUUUGAGUGAUACAUAUUUUAAUAUUUGCCCAGUACGUGCUCUUGCACCCUUCCACCCUCUCCCCACGUUUCUAUGUCGUUCUCUCUCCUUUCUUUUCAAUCCAUGCUGGGCGGCUCUUUCGAGAGCCAGGGAAUGAGACACAAAGUCCCUCUGCAGGCCCAGUCUGUGUCGCAGUGCUCGGCACCAAAAAGCAAAUGUUGAAAUGUAUCACUCUGUGUUGUUCAUUAAGUGUGUGCUUUGUAUGGUGACUCAGGCAGGUUGAGUGGCUGUCUUUCAUUGCUGCUCUGUGAAACUUCAAAAGUACAGCCUGCCUUCCGUGUUGGGUUGGUGGAGCUGAUUAUUCUAAAUUUCUUUCUUUUUCUUUUUUUGGUUUGGAUGUACACUUGAAGGUUUUGAUCAGCUUUCUGUUUUUGGUUGAUGGAAGAGAUUGUGAAUGAAAUCCAAUCUGUU